GUGCUUGCUUCGGCAGCACAUAGACUAAAAUUGGAAUGAUACAGAGAAUGAUACAUGGCCCCUGUGCAAGGAUGACAUGCAAAUUCGUGAAACAUUCCAUAUUUUU
Rattus norvegicus (Norway rat) is the source of this 106-nucleotide small nuclear RNA. The record is from Ensembl. Lineage: Eukaryota; Metazoa; Chordata; Mammalia; Rodentia; Muridae.